RNAcentral lists this ribosomal RNA (460 nucleotides) under uncultured bacterium. Its description in RNAcentral is "partial 16S ribosomal RNA". It matches the Rfam family "Bacterial small subunit ribosomal RNA", at positions 338 to 795 of the family's 1533-position model. The record is from RNAcentral.
CCUACGGGAGGCAGCAGUGAGGAAUAUUGGUCAAUGGACGAGAGUCUGAACCAGCCAAGUAGCGUGAAGGAUGACUGCCCUAUGGGUUGUAAACUUCUUUUAUAUGGGAAUAAAAUGUUCCACGUGUGGGAUUUUGUAUGUACCCUAUGAAUAAAGAACGGCUAACUCCGUGCCAUCAGCCGCGGUAAUACGGAGGAUCCGAGCGUUAUCCGGAUUUAUUGGGUUUAAAGGGAGCGUAGGUGGAUUGUUAAGUCAGUUGGGAAAGGUUGCGGCUCAACCGUAAAAUUGCAGUUGAAACUGGCAGUCUUGAGUACAGUAGAGGUGGGCGGAAUUCGUGGUGUAGCGGUGAAAUGCUUAGAUAUCACGAAGAACUCCGAUUGCGAAGGCAGCUCACUGGACUGCAACUGACACUGAGGCUCGAAAGUGUGGGUAUCAAACAGGAUUAGAUACCCCAGUAGUC